CAGAAUUACACACUGAAAUUAGUUCACCUGCGCAGCUGAGCUCCGGGAACUCUGAAAAAAAAAGAAAAAAGGAAAAGAAAAAGACUAUUGUUUCCGUCCAUCUGUUAAGCAAGAAUCCCAGGAGAUGGUUACAGUCACUGAGAGCUCAGGUUUCUUCAUUCUGAUGUUUGACGUGAACUUGACCUUCAUCUGCAAGACUUUAUGGACUGUGCUACUACCACAUGAUUGGCUGAUUGGAUAAUCGGGUGAAUGAGC
Long non-coding RNA from Ictalurus punctatus (channel catfish), 255 nucleotides. NCBI's taxonomy places the organism in Eukaryota, Metazoa, Chordata, Actinopteri, Siluriformes, Ictaluridae. The record is from Ensembl.